GUGUCAGCAGCCGCGGUAAUACAGAGGGGGCAAGCGUUGUUCGGAAUUAUUGGGCGUAAAGGGUGCGUAGGCGGUGCGGUAAGUCUUCUGUGAAAUCUCCGGGCUCAACUCGGAGCCUGCAGGAGAAACUGCCGUGCUUGAGUAUGGGAGAGGUGAGUGGAAUUCCUGGUGUAGCGGUGAAAUGCGUAGAUAUCAGGAGGAACACCUGUGGCGAAAGCGGCUCACUGGACCAUAACUGACGCUGAGGCACGAAAGCUAGGGGAGCAAACAGGAUUAGAAACCCUGGUAGUCC
This 292-nucleotide ribosomal RNA is filed under the name uncultured bacterium. Its description in RNAcentral is "partial 16S ribosomal RNA". It matches the Rfam family "Bacterial small subunit ribosomal RNA", at positions 505 to 796 of the family's 1533-position model. The record is from RNAcentral.